CAAGUAUCACUGACAAAAACUAACAAUGGUCAAGCUUAGUUUUAUACAUGAAAAUGAAAGAGUUUGUGUUUCACUUUGAAUUUUUUCUUUAUGUUUGUUUUUAUUAUAAACAAUAUCUUAUGAUUGUUUUAUGUCUUAAUUUUUUAUUUUUUUUUAAACAAUCUCAUAUGAUUGUUUAUAUUUGUUUAAAACAGUAUUUACUUGUAAAAUCUGCAUAUUUAAAUAAUUAUGGUAUUGGAAACAUUAUUUUGGAAAUAAUCUAUUUAUUUUUGUACAUAAGUUAUGCAAGAUUUUGAUAUUUGCAUAUGAUACCAUCAUAUCCAUUUUCUUAAUUUGGAAUAAAAUAAUAAAAUGCCAAACAUUACCUGUGUUACAUAAACUGUCAACAAAAUAACAAGACAAUACCUUAAAACACCCUUAUUUCACACCACUAACAAUAAACAGAUAACAAUCUGUCAGGCAUUCAGAGCUAAACAGGGUACUGAUUAUCUAGGGGUAGAUAAGGCUACUGAUGGGGUCCUAGAGAUAAGGCUGUGUGGAAUAAGAUAUAAGGCUUUUGAUUGGCUAUUGCACUGAGGAAGUUAUCUUUUUGAAAACAACAACUUUUGAAAAACAAGCUGGUGUCAGCAACUGAAUAUUGAGCUAAAUUUAAUUCAGCAACAUUAAUAUAAAGAAGUGAAAGACUUAUAAUGGUAGUGUAAAAUGUCUUGAAAUUCUGUCAGCAUGAAGUAUUGUGUGAUGAAAACAAUGUGUUUUUUACUGCAAGUGGAAAUCAAUAAUAAGUUGGUUGGAAAGGAGGUUGAACUGCCUGUUGUUGUUUUUGGAAUACUGAAGAACAGUUUUAACAGGUUUGUAUUGUCAUUUCUUCACCCCUUUUUUUAUUUAGUUUAUUGAAUUAAUUAUGAUCAUUAUCAUAUUUAUGUAUUGUCACUGGGAAAUGUAAAUGGAUAAGUUAUUGUAUUGCAAUUUAAAGGAUAAACAACACAUUUUGAAGCAAAAAUAGAUAAACUUACACAUGAAAAAGUGUAAAUGUUGUGUACAGUGAAUAAUUAUGGUUGUGUUUCAUGGUUAUUGUCAUCUAAAAUUUUAUUUAUAUCUAUUUCUGGUUAUUACUGAACGGAUUUCUUUCCCUCUUACUUAAUUAGAACUUAUAUAUUUUAAUUUUGAAGGUUAAACUCUUGCCACAAGGCAAAAUUGACAUCGUUGGGAAGAUCCUUUGGAAAGAAUGUGCAUCAUCGCCUGCCUGAUGUAUGGACUUUUAAACCUGGUUUUUACCCUGCACAAGCUGGCAAACUUGAGGGGAACAAGAGUGGGAAAACCUCGCCCUGUCCUUGACCAAGAAAGCUCGAUUUGUUGAGAGAUCAACUGGCAUAAGAGAUGCUCAAGAGGAGAAGGACACAAGCAGCAUCAAUGGAACAACUACAUGUCGCUCCAGCGCCCGCUUUCCAGGUCUCUACCAGCUGCUUUCCAGGUCCCUCCACCCGCCAAGAUCAGGUCUAGGUCCCUGCACUGGCUGCUUUCCAGGUCCCCUAGCGGUCAAGGUCUCUCCAGUAGCUGCUGUGCAGGUCCCAACACCGUAUGCCGUCAAGGUCCCUCCUUAAGCUGAAAUCCAGGUUCCUCAUUCCACUGCGGUUCAGGUACCUCCAACAGCUGAGAUCCAGGUCUCUGCAGCAGCUGCGGUCUAAAUACUCCACCCGCAGUGGUCCAUUGCGGUCAAA
Molecule: long non-coding RNA, 1718 nt
Organism: Dreissena polymorpha
Lineage: Eukaryota; Metazoa; Mollusca; Bivalvia; Myida; Dreissenidae
Exons: 2
Source: RefSeq, a predicted model, not a curated record